Equus asinus (donkey) is the source of this 1600-nucleotide long non-coding RNA. The record is from Ensembl. Lineage: Eukaryota; Metazoa; Chordata; Mammalia; Perissodactyla; Equidae.
UGGGGAGGUCCGCGUACCUCUCUGAGCCUCAGUUUGCUCCUCUGAAUAAUGGGGAGAACAGAGGAACAACCACCAAGGGCUAUUGUAGGGACUCAAUGAGCUCCUGCCUGGACGGCCCUUUGGAGAAGCUGAGCCCUAUGAAAGGUCAGCUGGAUCGGCCCUCCAGGGCUCCGUGCUAGGUAGGAGUUAGACAGUCACAAAAGACUCCUCAGGCAGCUGCCAUCCAGUACAGUCAAUGUGAUGCCCUCCUGUCUCCUCUAGUUACAGAUUCAUCCUCUUUUGUAGAGUGGAAGACGCGCCCACCCGCCUAUGGAAAAAGUGAGUGGGCACUGGAUCAAGUGGGAGGGCCUCCCCUCUCCACACUGUGAGGGGAGUGUGGGGCCUGUGAUCGGGUUGCUGGCAGCACCCGCCAUCCCAACAUCUUGUGAUUCCUUCGGGCCGGCAGAGUUCUGACGGCUUCUCAAAGAAGAGAAGACAGCAGUCCAGGAGAGCUCUGGAGGGGGCUGUGGGCGCUGUGGGAGCCCAGGGGGGAGUGGAGGAUGCUCCUACAGCACCCAGAUGCAUCCAAUCCCCAUCCCAGUCCCGCCUCCACUCCCCAUCCUGGGACACAGAACAGGAGGUGUCUGAGCAUCCUGCUCACUCAUAUCAUAGAACCUCCACGGUGGGGGCUCCGCUGCGUCCCAGCGAGCCCACUCCCUGCUCAGGGGCCAAAUGAUACCCUCCGUGUCAGCCCCUAGCAGGAGGGGAAUGUCACCCACAUGGGUCACCUAGUGAAUCAGGCAGCACAGAGGCACAGGAGCUAAAGGCUGAGGUGUUUGGAGGGCAGUAGGAAGCAUGGGCGGGAGACAAAGGCCAUUGUUCCCUCAUCGGCCAGAUAUUCACUGCACCCUACUGUGAACCAAUGUGUGCAAGAACAGAGCAGAUGGCCCCAUGCCCUUCCCUCCUGGACUGGCAUCCCAGUGGGAUGUGCCAGGAGACACUCGAGGACUGUGUCAGGCUUCCCUGAGGAAAAGGAUGGGUGAUCACACCAGGGACCGAGUGCUCUCACUUUCCAAGGUGUUAUCCCAGCCUCUCCUUGGAGACGCGACCUGUUCUGCCAAACUGGCCAGGUCGCACGCGCACGGAAAGUGGGACUGGCCCCUGGACAGGGCCUUGGCCUUCAUUCUCAGCAUGUGGAUGGAAUCCUAUCCCCAGUACUUUUUCCAGCCCCCAGACUUUCCGAGCUUGAGAAGGGUAUUGGCCUUCCUUGCGUUCAGCAUGCCAGGCUCGCAGGUGGAGCAUCAAGCUCGCCUUCUGCUUUCACAGUUGCUGCACCCUGAGCCCAGCGAGGCAGAGAGUCAGGCACCAGCUCCUGAGAAAGAUCCCAACCCAGAUGAACACAUCGCCCCCUUCUCUCCAACUCUAGUGCCCACCACACCUCAGAGCCACAGAUCGAUGUCCAGCGCCGCAGCCGCCUCGAGUCUCAGCCUGGAUUGCACUUCAAGCAAUGGAAAGACCAUUCACGUCCUCCCAGCAACGAGCCUCAGCCCCUGCACCGUGGUCCCACCACUGAUUUCCGCCCCUUCCCCUUUACCACCAGUUCAUUAAAGUUCUGUUUUGU